UAGGGAAUAUUGGGCAAUGGGCGGAAGCCUGACCCAGCCACGCCGCGUGCAGGAAGACGGCCCUNUGGGUUGUAAACUGCUUUUAACUGGGAAGAAAAGAGGCUUUGCGAAGCAAGUUGACGGUACCAGUUGAAUAAGCCACGGCUAACUACGUGCCAGCAGCCGCGGUAAUACGUAGGUGGCGAGCGUUAUCCGGAUUUAUUGGGUUUAAAGGGAGCGUAGGCGGCUGAUUAAGUCAGCGGUGAAAGGUAGCAGCUUAACUGUUUUACAUGCCGUUGAUACUGGUUAGCUUGAGUUGACAGAAGGCAGAUAGAAUUCCUGGUGUAGCGGUGAAAUGCUUAGAUACCAGGAGGAAUACCGAUUGCGAAGGCAGUCUGCUGCAGUCACACUGACGCUGAGGCUCGAAGGUGCGGGGAUCAAACAGGAUUAGAUACCCUGGUAGUCCGCACAGUAAACGAUGAUUACUAGAUGUUGGCCAAGCCAGUGUCCAAGGGAAACCGAUAAGUAAUCCACCUGGGGAGUACGCCGGCAACGGUG
This 537-nucleotide ribosomal RNA is filed under the name uncultured bacterium. Its description in RNAcentral is "bacterial SSU rRNA". It matches the Rfam family "Bacterial small subunit ribosomal RNA", at positions 355 to 896 of the family's 1533-position model. The record is from RNAcentral.